Molecule: non-coding RNA, 1731 nt
Organism: Phoenix dactylifera (date palm)
Lineage: Eukaryota; Viridiplantae; Streptophyta; Magnoliopsida; Arecales; Arecaceae
Source: RefSeq, a predicted model, not a curated record
UCUGAACUAAUUGGGUUUCCAAAGGCCGUGGGCCGUUACACCCAAAAUAGAUGGCGCGACGCGCGGGAGAUCUAGGUCUUCGAUUCCCAAGAAUCGAUAUAAAAGGCGCGGGAGAGGGAAAGAGAGAUGGAACCGGAAAGCGAUAUGGGAGAGACGACGGAGGGCUUGGGAGGAGGAGCGGAAGCUGCGCUUAGCCUGACUGUGGGCUCCUCGAUAUCCAUACACUACCACUCUCUUUUCGGAUCUCAUGACGAUGUGCUUCUUCUCGAGGUCGAUGAGAAGCUCGUCCCCGAUGUCGCCCUGCACUGGGGUGACCAUUUGAUGACAGCCUGAUGAGGGAGCUAUGCUGUGCACUCCAACCUAUGUGAUGAAGUAUGUAGGCACAUCCAACUCUGUAUUAUUGAUAACCCCAGGAGAGCCAACUCCUUCGAGUUCGUAUUAUGCAGGCAACUGGUAGUGAGACAAACAACAUAGCAGUCCUUGGUGCAGUGGUAUCUGUCAUCAAAGUGGCACCAGGGAAUAUCCCAGGCUUGAGAAAAUGAAAUUCCUCUUUAACGGGAGGAAUUACAGACUUGAGGAAGAUUCUGAAAAUGAAUGGCCAUUAGAUGCACUUUCAGAAAAUGAAGUAUUCUUAGAAGCUGACGAGUUCCCUCACAGAAUUGCUCUCCGCUGACUUGAAAAAUUUGGAAGCAAGAUGGAGAAUUAAGGAAGCAAUUUGUGGAGUUUGGAUGAGAAGCGGGUCUGUGUCUUUUGCUGAACGAAUUUUGGAUGGUGGAAAGAUGAAUUUGGAGAUUUUCGUGGAAAAGUGGAUGCAAAGUGUUCCUUCAGGAAUAAAUGCAGACUUAAAAAUGCUUGAGGGUGAAGUGUUGUAUGAAAAGCUUGGUGUCAAAAACUGGAUCCAUGCUUUCAGUGUCUCCGAUGUUCCAUCAACUCCAGCUGAGCAUGUUGCAGCACUGUUUUGAGAGCGGCCAAAGUGGGAAUGGAAAAAUUUAGAGCCCUAUAUCAGGGACUUGUGUGUGCCGACUCUCUCUUCAGAAGGUUUGCUUAUCAAGUAUACUGGAGGAAUGUGACGAAGUGCAGAUACUGAACCUAUUUCCACUGCAAGAUAGUCUUAAGCGAUUAUGUGUACCUGUUUUCAGCUUCUCUGAGUCUCUCUUCAGUAGGUUUGCUUAUCAAGUGUACUGGAAGAAUGCGACCAAGUGCAGAUAUUGAACCUAUUUUCACUGCAAGAUAGUCUUAAGUGAUUAUGUGCACAUGUUUUCAGCUUCUUUUGCCCCAGGUAACGAGUCUAUUUUCAGCUUCUCUUAUCAGCUGUUUUGACUUUUGUUGUGAGAUUUUAUUGUUAUGGUAACAUUUCUCUAUUUGCUUAUGUUACUGCUGGCAGAACAACUUAUUAUUCUCUUUGAAAAUGGAGAUUUGAUUUUGGAAAAUCAAUAUAAUAUGAUGAACAACAAAAGGUCAAGCAAUGGCUAUUUUUCUUGACAUGCAGCACCAGCCAUUGUAAUGCAACAGCAAACUCCAACAAGAUGUCUGGCCAAUUGGGCAUUUUUCUUUCAUUUUUUGCUCAAUAUGUGAAAAAGAAAUCCAAAGGAAAAGAGAAGAAGUUGGGAGAGUGAAGUUUGGGUGUAAUGGAGUCAGAGCUUUUGAACAAGUCUAGAUUUAAUCGUGCUCGGUUUGAAAUUAUUCUCGAACCUGAGUUUUGAGAUAAAGCUUAAUUUAUUCAUUAUUUAA